CAGCAUGUUUUAGGUGUGGUCAGGAGGGACAUGUAGUUCGUGAGUGUCGUACUGCACCUUGGAUAGCUCAGUCUCAGCGGACAUUUUUAAGUAGAGUUGUUCAACAGGAGGCAGCCACAUCAGACCCAGUAGUGCCAGGUAUGUUCAUUUUGUUAUGAAUGUUCUGAUGUGUUUUGAGGAUUCUCAUAGGAUGUCUUUUGUUGUAAUCGAAGUAAAAGAUAAAUAGAUAGAAUUUCAAAGAAGAGUUAAAGAGAGAGUUAUUAUGAGAUGUUAGGAUCUCAGGUUUUCAUAAACCUAGGCAUAGUGAGAAUUGAUUUCUCAAGAAGAAUAAGAGUAAAUAAGGCAGAAAAUAGAACAAGAAGUAAAAAGAGUAACAGGAAGUAUGAAUAAGUAGAAGGAUAAGAUGGGUCAGAGUAAGAGGAAAAGAAAAGGAAGGUAAGUUCAUAAAGAGACUAGAGUUAGUCUGGGAUUAGGUGGUAGUGAGGCA
This 487-nucleotide long non-coding RNA is filed under the name Manihot esculenta (cassava). Its description in RNAcentral is "long non-coding RNA (MESC_LNC004539)". Lineage: Eukaryota; Viridiplantae; Streptophyta; Magnoliopsida; Malpighiales; Euphorbiaceae. The record is from RNAcentral.